UUAGCAUGUUAAACAGGUCUUGGCUUCAGUGCAGUAGGCCAGGAUUUGGAAGCUGGUGCUUACAGUGAGUAUCUCCUGUUGAAUCAUGCCACUGGCUUUCAGUGUCUGUUGGACCACUCAGAAGGAGAAACAGAU
Molecule: small nucleolar RNA, 135 nt
Filed under: Hucho hucho (huchen)
Lineage: Eukaryota; Metazoa; Chordata; Actinopteri; Salmoniformes; Salmonidae
Description: Small nucleolar RNA SNORA30/SNORA37 family (ENSHHUG00000021404.1)
Source: RNAcentral